GGGAAGGGGGAUUGAGAGGCCUUGAUAUCUGUAAGCAUUUUCUUAAUGUUUCGGUUAUGUGGAGUCUUUUUGUUGCUGCUCUUUGUUUAUUCCAACUGGUGUGCAAGCCUGCACAGGGAUUGCUUCUCCAAUGCAAUCUAUCAUUACUUUUCCCCCCAUUUUAAGGACAUUUCAGAUAAGAUUUUCACUCCUUUUUGUUGCUCUUAGUAGGGUUGAGUGGAUGAGUGCUUUUGAAGAUUUUACAUAAGAAAUGUUAUGUGCAUUGGCUGCAAAAGGUAUUUCGAAAAACUAUUCAUCGCAUGGUAGUAUUAGCACUGUAAAAGCCAUCAUAUAAUAUCUCUUAAUAAGCAAUAUGAUGUGAAACAAGUUAGCUUAAAUCUAGGAAAUGGAAAACUAAUUAACUGGCUGAUGUUUGUUUCAAGACUAAUUAACAGGAUUUGGAUUUUCAGGGAACCUCCCAAACGGCCCUUUUCCCCAUUGGGCACAUUCUGUUUGGCUUUUAUAGGGGCCAUGCGUUUGUUUGUGUACUGACUACUGAGGCUGGUUGAAAU
RNAcentral lists this long non-coding RNA (551 nucleotides) under Setaria viridis. RNAcentral's name for it is "long non-coding RNA (SVIR_LNC001952)". The record is from RNAcentral. Lineage: Eukaryota; Viridiplantae; Streptophyta; Magnoliopsida; Poales; Poaceae.